This 178-nucleotide unclassified non-coding RNA is filed under the name uncultured fungus. RNAcentral's name for it is "sequence contains ITS1, 5.8S rRNA gene". The record is from RNAcentral. Lineage: Eukaryota; Fungi.
CCGAGUUUACAACUCCCAAACCCCUGUGAACAUACCUUUUUGUUGCCUCGGCGGGAGGCCCCGGGGGACGGCUUCGGCCGCCCUCCCGGAUCCCAUGGCUGCCCGCCGGAGGACCCAAACCUCUGUUUUAGAAUUAAAUCUUCUUCUGAGUACCUAGGCGAAAGCCGAAAAUAAAUCA